This 458-nucleotide ribosomal RNA is filed under the name uncultured bacterium. Its description in RNAcentral is "bacterial SSU rRNA". It matches the Rfam family "Bacterial small subunit ribosomal RNA", at positions 28 to 477 of the family's 1533-position model. The record is from RNAcentral.
GACGAACGCUGGCGGCGUGCUUAACACAUGCAAGUCGAGCGGUAAGGCCCUUUCGGGGGUACGACGAGCGGCGAACGGGUGAGUAACACGUGGGUGACCUGCCCUCAGCUCUGGGAUAAGCCUGGGAAACUGGGUCUAAUACUGGAUAUGACUCCACGGUGCAUGUCGUGGGGUGGAAAGCCUUGUGCGGCUGAGGAUGGGCCCGCGGCCUAUCAGCUUGUUGGUGGGGUGAGGCCUACCAAGGCGACGACGGGUAGCCGGCCUGAGAGGGCGACCGGCCACACUGGGACUGAGACACGGCCCAGACUCCUACGGGAGGCAGCAGUGGGGAAUCUUGCGCAAUGGGCGAAAGCCUGACGCAGCGACGCCGCGUGCGUGAAGAAGGCCUGCGGGGUUGUAAAGCACUUUCAGGUAGGGGAAGAAAAGCUUGGUGUGAAUAGCGCCGAGUCUUGACGUUA